Molecule: ribosomal RNA, 451 nt
Filed under: uncultured bacterium
Lineage: Bacteria
Description: bacterial SSU rRNA
Rfam family: Bacterial small subunit ribosomal RNA
Source: RNAcentral
AGCGAACGCUGGCGGCAGGCUUAACACAUGCAAGUCGAACGGGCGUAGCAAUACGUCAGUGGCAGACGAGUGAGUAACGCGUGGGAACGUACCUUUUGGUUCGGAACAACCCAGGGAAACUUGGGCUAAUACCGGAUAAGCCCUUACGGGGAAAGAUUUAUCGCCGAAAGAUCGGCCCGCGUCUGAUUAGCUAGUUGGUGAGGUAAUGGCUCACCAAGGCGACGAUCAGUAGCUGGUCNGAGAGGAUGAUCAGCCACAUUGGGACUGAGACACGGCCCAAACUCCUACGGGAGGCAGCAGUGGGGAAUAUUGGACAAUGGGCGCAAGCCUGAUCCAGCCAUGCCGCGUGAGUGAUGAAGGCCCUAGGGUUGUAAAGCUCUUUUGUGCGGGAAGAUAAUGACGGUACGCAAGAAUAAGCCCCGGCUAACUUCGUGCCAGCAGCCGCAGUAAG